AGAAGAAAUGAGAUUCCCAUCCCAAGAGAUAGAAAUGGAAUUGUUCAUACAGCUCGAGCGGCUAAUCCGAUAACCUCCGAAGGCAAACAGGUACCUUCAAUGGCAAAUCAAACUCCUGUGAUCUCAAGAGGCAAUGUGGUGCCUGUUUUACUCCAACCUGUUGAUUUAUCAAAUGGGAAUGCCAGUGGACCAUCUUCAGCCGCAACCCAACCUACUGAUGCAGUGGCCUUCAAGGGAAAACGGGUGCUAGAUGCUGCUCAUCCAUCAAAUGGAUCAACAUCCACACCCACAAACCAAGUGCUGGCAGUUGAAACCCAGUUGCUUCACUUUCAAUCUCAAAAUGACCACCAGUUAAUGUCUUCAAGCAUACAAAAGGAAGCCAGUGUUAAUCAAAAUUUAGCAGCAGCACAGCAAGAUGCUGAAGCCAAAUCAAUGAAAUUGCCUGGUAUGCCCUUUGAGAAACUGUUAACAGAAGUCAUUAAAAGAACUCAAGUCCCUUCACAGUCAACAAAGACUGAUAAUGGUUCAGCUGUUAAUUUGCCUGCUAAAGAUUCUGGCCUUGCUGCAGAGGAUGAUAUCAAUGACACAGAUCAGCC
Molecule: unclassified non-coding RNA, 596 nt
Filed under: Hevea brasiliensis (rubber tree)
Lineage: Eukaryota; Viridiplantae; Streptophyta; Magnoliopsida; Malpighiales; Euphorbiaceae
Source: RNAcentral